This 590-nucleotide ribosomal RNA is filed under the name uncultured Thermoplasmata archaeon. RNAcentral describes it as "bacterial SSU rRNA". It matches the Rfam family "Archaeal small subunit ribosomal RNA", at positions 55 to 650 of the family's 1478-position model. The record is from RNAcentral. Lineage: Archaea; Methanobacteriati; Thermoplasmatota; Thermoplasmata.
GAGUCGUGAGGGUUCGGCCCUCGGCUGACGGUUCAGUAACACGCGGAUAAUCUGCCCUUGGGUGGAGGAUAAUCUCGGGAAACUGAGAAUAAUACUCCAUAAGCCUAGGAUGCUGGAAUGCACUUAGACUAAAAACUUCGGUGCCCAAGGAUGAGUCUGCGGACUAUCAGGUUGUAGUCAGGGUAACGACCUGACUAGCCUACGACGGAUACGGGUUGUGAGAGCAAUAACCCGGAGAUGAUAUCUGAGACACGAUAUCAGGCCCUACGGGGCGCAGCAGGCGCGAAAACUUCGCAAUGUGCGAAAGCACGACGAGGGAAUCCCAAGUGCUGGCUCGUUAGAGUCAGCUGUUUUUAUGUCUAAAAAGCAUAAAGAGUAAGGGCUGGGUAAGACGGGUGCCAGCCGCCGCGGUAAUACCUGCAGCUCAAGUGGUGGCCGCUAUUAUUGGGCCUAAAACGUCCGUAGCCGGUUUAUUAAAUGCCUAGGUAAAUUGUGUGGCUUAACCAUACGAAUUCUGGGUAGACUGGUAAACUUGAAAUCGGGAGAAGCUAGAGGUACUCCUGGGGUAGAGGUGAAAUUCUGUAAUCCUA